CGCGAAGAACCUUACCUGGGCUAGAAUGCAGAUCGACCGUGGGUGAAAGCUCAUUUUGUAGCAAUACACGGUCUGUAAGGUGCUGCAUGGCUGUCGUCAGCUCGUGCCGUGAGGUGUUGGGUUAAGUCCCGCAACGAGCGCAACCCCCAUCACUAGUUGCCAUCAGGUAACGCUGGGAACUCUAGUGAAACUGCCGUCGUAAGACGUGAGGAAGGAGGGGAUGAUGUCAAGUCAUCAUGGCCUUUAUGCCCAGGGCUACACACGUGCUACAAUGGAGUGGACAAAGGGCUGCAACACAGUGAUGUGAAGCUAAUCCCAAAAACCACUUCUCAGUUCAGAUUGGAGUCUGCAACUCGACUCCAUGAAGCUGGAAUCGCUAGUAAUCGUAGAUCAGCAACGCUACGGUGAAUACGUUCCCGGGCCUUGUACACACCG
This 435-nucleotide ribosomal RNA is filed under the name uncultured bacterium. RNAcentral's name for it is "bacterial SSU rRNA". It matches the Rfam family "Bacterial small subunit ribosomal RNA", at positions 960 to 1392 of the family's 1533-position model. The record is from RNAcentral.